This 554-nucleotide ribosomal RNA is filed under the name Penicillium commune. Its description in RNAcentral is "eukaryotic LSU rRNA". The stretch from base 219 to 371 matches the Rfam family "5.8S ribosomal RNA". Lineage: Eukaryota; Fungi; Ascomycota; Eurotiomycetes; Eurotiales; Aspergillaceae. The record is from RNAcentral.
CGUAACAAGGUUUCCGUAGGUGAACCUGCGGAAGGAUCAUUACCGAGUGAGGGCCCUCUGGGUCCAACCUCCCACCCGUGUUUAUUUUACCUUGUUGCUUCGGCGGGCCCGCCUUAACUGGCCGCCGGGGGGCUUACGCCCCCGGGCCCGCGCCCGCCGAAGACACCCUCGAACUCUGUCUGAAGAUUGAAGUCUGAGUGAAAAUAUAAAUUAUUUAAAACUUUCAACAACGGAUCUCUUGGUUCCGGCAUCGAUGAAGAACGCAGCGAAAUGCGAUACGUAAUGUGAAUUGCAAAUUCAGUGAAUCAUCGAGUCUUUGAACGCACAUUGCGCCCCCUGGUAUUCCGGGGGGCAUGCCUGUCCGAGCGUCAUUGCUGCCCUCAAGCCCGGCUUGUGUGUUGGGCCCCGUCCCCCGAUCUCCGGGGGACGGGCCCGAAAGGCAGCGGCGGCACCGCGUCCGGUCCUCGAGCGUAUGGGGCUUUGUCACCCGCUCUGUAGGCCCGGCCGGCGCUUGCCGAUCAACCCAAAUUUUUAUCCAGGUUGACCUCGGAUCA